This 467-nucleotide ribosomal RNA is filed under the name uncultured bacterium. RNAcentral's name for it is "partial 16S ribosomal RNA". It matches the Rfam family "Bacterial small subunit ribosomal RNA", at positions 28 to 507 of the family's 1533-position model. The record is from RNAcentral.
GACGAACGCUGGCGGCGUGCUUAACACAUGCAAGUCGAACGAUGACGACCGAGCUUGCUCGGUCUGAUUAGUGGCGAACGGGUGAGUAACACGUGAGCAACCUGCCCUUCACUCUGGGAUAACCUCGGGAAAUCGGGGCUAAUACCGGAUAUGAGCUCCUGUCGCAUGGCGGGUGUUGGAAAGUUUUUCGGUGAAGGAUGGGCUCGCGGCCUAUCAGUUUGUUGGUGAGGUAGUGGCUCACCAAGGCGAUGACGGGUAGCCGGCCUGAGAGGGCGACCGGCCACACUGGGACUGAGACACGGCCCAGACUUCUACGGGAGGCAGCAGUGGGGAAUAUUGCACAAUGGGCGAAAGCCUGAUGCAGCGACGCCGCGUGAGGGAUGACGGCCUUCGGGUUGUAAACCUCUUUCAGCAGGGAAGAAGCGAAAGUGACGGUACCUGCAGAAGAAGCGCCGGCUAACUACGUG